This 253-nucleotide ribosomal RNA is filed under the name uncultured bacterium. RNAcentral describes it as "partial 16S ribosomal RNA". It matches the Rfam family "Bacterial small subunit ribosomal RNA", at positions 524 to 776 of the family's 1533-position model. The record is from RNAcentral.
UACGGAGGAUGCAAGCGUUAUCCGGAUUUAUUGGGUUUAAAGGGUGCGUAGGCGGGGCAAUUAGUCAGUGGUGAAAUCCUGCGGCUUAACCGUAGAAUUGCCAUUGAUACUGUUGCCCUUGAGUAUAGUUGAAGUGGGCGGAAUAUGUAAUGUAGCGGUGAAAUGCAUAGAGAUUACAUAGAACACCAAUUGCGAAGGCAGCUCACUAAGCUAUCACUGACGCUGAGGCACGAAAGCGUGGGGAGCGAACAGG